UNUGCUGUGAAAGGCUGGGGCUUAACCCUGGUUUUGCAGUGGGUACGGGCUAACUAGAGUGCAGUAGGGGAGACUGGAAUUCCUGGUGUAGCGGUGGAAUGCGCAGAUAUCAGGAGGAACACCGAUGGCGAAGGCAGGUCUCUGGGCUGUAACUGACGCUGAGAAGCGAAAGCAUGGGGAGCGAACAGGAUUAGAUACCCUGGUAGUCCAUGCCGUAAACGUUGGGCACUAGGUGUGGGGGACAUUCCACGUUUUCCGCGCCGUAGCUAACGCAUUAAGUGCCCCGCCUGGGGAGUACGGCCGCAAGGCUAAAACUCAAAGAAAUUGACGGGGGCCCGCACAAGCGGCGGAGCAUGCGGAUUAAUUCGAUGCAACGCGAAGAACCUUACCAAGGCUUGACAUAUACUGGACUGCGUCAGAGAUGGCGUUUCCCUUCGGGGCUGGUAUACAGGUGGUGCAUGGUUGUCGUCAGCUCGUGUCGUGAGAUGUUGGGUUAAGUCCCGCAACGAGCGCAACCCUCGUUCUAUGUUGCCAGCACGUGAUGGUGGGGACUCAUAGGAGACUGCCGGGGUCAACUCGGAGGAAGGUGGGGAUGACGUCAAAUCAUCAUGCCCCUUAUGUCUUGGGCUUCACGCAUGCUACAAUGGCCGGUACAGAGGGUUGCGAUACUGUGAGGUGGAGCUAAUCCCUAAAAGCUGGUCUCAGUUCGGAUUGGGGUCUGCAACUCGACCCCAUGAAGUCGGAGUCGCUAGUAAUCGCAGAUCAGCAACGCUGCGGUGAAUACGUUCCCGGGCCUUGUACACACCGCCCGUCAAGUCACGAAAGUUGGUAACACCCGAAGCCGGUGGCCUAACCCUGGUGGGGGGAGCCGUNGAA
RNAcentral lists this ribosomal RNA (876 nucleotides) under uncultured bacterium. RNAcentral describes it as "bacterial SSU rRNA". It matches the Rfam family "Bacterial small subunit ribosomal RNA", at positions 588 to 1460 of the family's 1533-position model. The record is from RNAcentral.